GGGGGGGGGGUUUCAAUAAUACAUGCAAGUUGAGCGCUGAAGGUUGGUACUUGUACCGACUGGAUGAGCAGCGAACGGGUGAGUAACGCGUGGGGAAUCUGCCUUUGAGCGGGGGACAACAUUUGGAAACGAAUGCUAAUACCGCAUAAAAACUUUAAACACAAGUUUUAAGUUUGAAAGAUGCAAUUGCAUCACUCAAAGAUGAUCCCGCGUUGUAUUAGCUAGUUGGUGAGGUAAAGGCUCACCAAGGCGAUGAUACAUAGCCGACCUGAGAGGGUGAUCGGCCACAUUGGGACUGAGACACGGCCCAAACUCCUACGGGAGGCAGCAGUAGGGAAUCUUCGGCAAUGGACGAAAGUCUGACCGAGCAACGCCGCGUGAGUGAAGAAGGUUUUCGGAUCGUAAAACUCUGUUGGUAGAGAAGAACGUUGGUGAGAGUGGAAAGCUCAUCAAGUGACGGUAACUACCCAGAAAGGGACGGCUAACUACGUGCCAGCAGCCGCGGUAAUACGUAGGUCCCGAGCGUUGUCCGGAUUUAUUGGGCGUAAAGCGAGCGCAGGUGGUUUAUUAAGUCUGGUGUAAAAGGCAGUGGCUCAACCAUUGUAUGCAUUGGAAACUGGUAGACUUGAGUGCAGGAGAGGAGAGUGGAAUUCCAUGUGUAGCGGUGAAAUGCGUAGAUAUAUGGAGGAACACCGGUGGCGAAAGCGGCUCUCUGGCCUGUAACUGACACUGAGGCUCGAAAGCGUGGGGAGCAAACAGGAUUAGAUACCCUGGUAGUCCACGCCGUAAACGAUGAGUGCUAGAUGUAGCGAGCUAUAAGUUCUCUGUAUCGCAGCUAACGCAAUAAGCACUCCGCCUGGGGAGUACGACCGCCAGGUUGAAACUCAAAGGAAUUGACGGGGGGCCGCACAAGCGGUCGGAGCAUGUGGUUUAAUUCGGAGCAACGGGAAGAACCUUAACAAGGUCUUGGACAUACUCGGGCUAUUCCUAGAGAUAGGAAGGUUCCUUCGGGAACACGGGAUACAGGUUGGGGCAUGGUUUGUCGCCAGCCCCGGGUCGUGGAAAUGUUGGGGUUAAAGUUCCCGCCACCGAGGGGAACCCCCUAUUUGUUAGUUGGCAUUCCUUUAAGUUGGGGCCCCCUUAACCGGGAACUGGCCGGUGGAUAAACCCGGAGGAAAGGUGGGGGAUUGAGGUCCAAACCAAUCAAGGGCCCCUUUUAGGACCUGGGGCCAACCCCCGGGGGUCCAAAUGGGACUGGUUCAAACGGGGGGCCCGGGAAAAAAUUUAGGGUUUUUGGGGGAAUUUCUUUUAAAAACC
Molecule: ribosomal RNA, 1317 nt
Filed under: Lactococcus lactis
Lineage: Bacteria; Bacillati; Bacillota; Bacilli; Lactobacillales; Streptococcaceae
Description: bacterial SSU rRNA
Rfam family: Bacterial small subunit ribosomal RNA
Source: RNAcentral